GAUACCCGGAAGUCCAGCAAAACCGCAAACGCCGCUUUUAAAAAGCUGCACCGAAUGAACAUGCUAGCUGGCUGUAGCUAAUGGCACCGUAGCGUUCACACUAUCGUUUAGUGCUGUUGUAUUAUUAUCUGGCGACGUUAUUAACGACCUGCUAUUUAAGGGCUGUUAUUAAGAAGUGAUCUUGUUGAAACUCGCCAUGUUGUGGCUGCUGUAAUACAUUGGUGGUGUCAGAAAUAGGAUGCCUGAAGCAAUCCUGCUGGAGCCUGGUCUUCAUACCAUCGUUUGGCAGUCCUGCUCCAGCCUGGCAGACCUGCAGGCGGCCGUGGAGAAGUGGCGGUUUCACAGCAAGACCAGCACAGAAGAAAAAGCUCAUCUGCUGGGGCUGCAGCAAGAGGGGGAACUGGCUUCUGCCCAAGCCUGUUGACAGACGCGGGGUUGUCAACUUUGGCCAUCUGGCUGGUGUGAGAUUUUCAAUUCGAGACAAUUCUGUACAUGCAUUUACAUGUAUGUAACAGUUUAAUUACCUUGUAAACAGUCUGAAAGAUUUACAAACUGAUGUAGCUAAUUUUAGGUUUAUAAUGGAAUAAUUCAGAUUUGCUAUAGCAUCUCUGAAAACAUGAGUGUCCGCGCCAGAUGUGUGAGAGCUGGCAACCCUGCAGAUGAGAUAGCAGUAGUACUGUGAGGGAGGUGUUGUCCUAUUCUUCUGAAGUGCUCUGGAUUCAUGCAGUGUGUCCUCGAGUUAUUCCUGCCAGCAUACUGGUCACCGAUCUGAGACGAUGUCGGUGACUAAAGAAGGCAGGGACUACUGCGGACUCCGAACACUCACCACCCAUCGAGGGCUUCUGACUCUCCAGCUGCGAUGAGCCUCAGUGUGACCCCAGCUACAACCGCAACCAGCAGAGGCAGCAGGCUGAGGCUGUUCUGCUCGGCCGCGAAGAGGCGUGCCGUAGAUGGGAGGCCCAGCUGAAUCGGGAGCUUUGCGAGUUGGACGAGCAGUGGGAGGCGGACCGGCAAGACAAAGAGUGGCUGCGUGAGUCCCGCAAAGCAGGAGUGGCAUGAGUUGGAGCAGCUGUGCGACAAACUGACCAGCUAGGAGCAAGCGCGCGACAGCCAGAGGCAGUAGGCUGUUAGCCGAAGCUUCGCUACUUGGCUAGGGGGAGGUGUGUCGCAGCUUGGAGGACCGGAGAAGGGGUGGUGCUCCCUGGAGAAGCUGCCUGAGCAGCUAGCUUGUUAGCUUGGGGCAGGAGGCCAAGGAGGAUACACUACUUUACCAUGAGGGGGCAUGCCUCACUCUGGAAGCCCAGCUGGCUGAGGAAUGCCAUGAGCUGGAGGAGCAGUGUGGCCAGUAUCAUCUGGACUUGGAGCUGCUGUGCCAGGCCACUCGAUAUGGGGAACAGGAGGGGCAGCAGGAUCUCUCUAAGCUGUGUAAGGGGAAGGGGAAGGUGCCAAUUGGGACCUGCAAUGCCAGGACCCACCAGCAGCCCAGCGUCUGCCAGCCUCCCGGUCUCAUCAGCCUUGCCAGUACUCACGAGAGGGCAGCUCCCCCCAUCAUCUGCACUGGUGGCUGCAACCGGACCACUAGGACUUGUUUCAGAACUGAGAUUGGGACUGGGUGUGAUCACUGGGAUGGUCGACCUUUGAGGGGGGCCCAGUGUAGACCUCCUUGUGUUUCCCCGUUAAUUGUGGUUCAGAGUGUGAUUUCCAUUUGUGUUAGACCUUUUAAGAGCUAUCAUUAAAGAGCCAUCUUGUUGAAA
Paramormyrops kingsleyae is the source of this 1754-nucleotide long non-coding RNA. RefSeq lists it as uncharacterized. Lineage: Eukaryota; Metazoa; Chordata; Actinopteri; Osteoglossiformes; Mormyridae. The record is from RefSeq and is a predicted model, not a curated record.